RNAcentral lists this ribosomal RNA (383 nucleotides) under Klebsiella pneumoniae. RNAcentral's name for it is "bacterial SSU rRNA". It matches the Rfam family "Bacterial small subunit ribosomal RNA", at positions 872 to 1255 of the family's 1533-position model. The record is from RNAcentral. RNAcentral also lists the same sequence under 1 other name. Lineage: Bacteria; Pseudomonadati; Pseudomonadota; Gammaproteobacteria; Enterobacterales; Enterobacteriaceae.
CCUGGGGAGUACGGCCGCAAGGUUAAAACUCAAAUGAAUUGACGGGGGCCCGCACAAGCGGUGGAGCAUGUGGUUUAAUUCGAUGCAACGCGAAGAACCUUACCUGGUCUUGACAUCCACAGAACUUUCCAGAGAUGGAUUGGUGCCUUCGGGAACUGUGAGACAGGUGCUGCAUGGCUGUCGUCAGCUCGUGUUGUGAAAUGUUGGGUUAAGUCCCGCAACGAGCGCAACCCUUAUCCUUUGUUGCCAGCGGUUCGGCCGGGAACUCAAAGGAGACUGCCAGUGAUAAACUGGAGGAAGGUGGGGAUGACGUCAAGUCAUCAUGGCCCUUACGACCAGGGCUACACACGUGCUACAAUGGCAUAUACAAAGAGAAGCGACCU